AACUACUGCUACUUUCUUGGGAAUCUAAUGUUUUGAAAACAUAAAAGAAGUGUUCGAAUCACUUAGUAGUUU
This 72-nucleotide transfer RNA is filed under the name Tonicia forbesii. RNAcentral's name for it is "tRNA-Ser". Lineage: Eukaryota; Metazoa; Mollusca; Polyplacophora; Chitonida; Chitonidae. The record is from RNAcentral.